RNAcentral lists this ribosomal RNA (489 nucleotides) under uncultured bacterium. RNAcentral describes it as "bacterial SSU rRNA". It matches the Rfam family "Bacterial small subunit ribosomal RNA", at positions 28 to 528 of the family's 1533-position model. The record is from RNAcentral.
GAUGAACGCUAGCGGCAGGCCUAAUACAUGCAAGUCAAGGGGAUAGCAAUAUCACCGGCGGACGGGUGCGUAACGCGUACACAACGUGCCCAAGGGCGGAGGAAAGCGGCGGGAAACUGCCGGUAAUACUCCAUGGUGUUGUUGAGUGGCAUCACUUAACAACUAAAGUACAAGCGCCCUUGGAUCGGUGUGCGUUCGAUUAGCUAGUUGGCGGGGUAACGGCCCACCAAGGCUUCGAUCGAUAGGGGGUGUGAGAGCAUGACCCCCCCANACGGGUACUGAGACACGGACCCGACUCCUACGGGAGGCAGCAGUAAGGAAUAUUGGUCAAUGGACGAAAGUCUGAACCAGCCAUCCCGCGUGCAGGGUGAAGGUCCUAUGGAUUGUAAACUGCUUUUAGCAGAGAAGAAAGCAUCCUUUUAAGGGUGUCUGACGGUGUCUGCGGAAUAAGCACCGGCUAACUCCGUGCCAGCAGCCGCGGUAAAGUAG